UAGGGAAUCUUCGGCAAUGGACGAAAGUCUGACCGAGCAACGCCGCGUGAGUGAAGAAGGUUUUCGUAUCGUAAAACUCUGUUGUUAGAGAAGAACAAGGACGUUAGUAACUGAACGUCCCCUGACGGUAUUUAACCAGAAAGCCACGGCUAACUACGUGCCAGCAGCCGCGGUAAUACGUAGGUGGCAAGCGUUGUCCGGAUUUAUUGGGCGUAAAGCGAGCGCAGGCGGUUUCUUAAGUCUGGUGAUAAAGCCCCCGGCUCAACCGGGGAGGGUCAUUAGAAACUGGGAGACUUGAGUGCAGAAGAGGAGAGAGGAAUUCCGUGUGUAGCGGUAAAAUGCGUAGAUAUAUGGAGGAACACCAGUGGCGAAGGCGACUCUCUGGUCUGUAACUGACGCUGAGGCUCGAAAGCGUGGGGAGCAAGCAGG
RNAcentral lists this ribosomal RNA (429 nucleotides) under Gemmatimonadota bacterium. RNAcentral describes it as "Gemmatimonadetes bacterium partial 16S ribosomal RNA". It matches the Rfam family "Bacterial small subunit ribosomal RNA", at positions 355 to 776 of the family's 1533-position model. Lineage: Bacteria; Pseudomonadati; Gemmatimonadota. The record is from RNAcentral.